UCCUCUUGCUGUUCUAGCUUCUGGCUUAGCUGCGCGAAGCCUCCUCAGGGCAGCGGGAACCUUCAUCCCACUGCCCUGAGGAGGCUUCGCGCGGUUAUCCCAGAAGCCAGAACAGCGAGAGG
Non-coding RNA from Podarcis lilfordi (Lilford's wall lizard), 122 nucleotides. Lineage: Eukaryota; Metazoa; Chordata; Lepidosauria; Squamata; Lacertidae. The record is from the annotation of a GenBank genome assembly.